AUAUUAUGAUACGGGAUAAUAAUAUCAUAGAACAAUAUACAUGCACAGAAUGAUAUAAUAAUAUAUUAUAUCUAUGUAUACAUGUUUGCGCCACAGAAUUUAUUCUAUGAUAACUCCAACAAAAUAUCUUCACUCUUCAGUGUUCAUUUGAUAACGCUAAAGAAAAUUUUAAAUUUUAUUGAGAUUCCAAUUUUUUUUAUUUAAACCGAUACUGUCAUAGGUAAUAUUAAUAUUCGAUUAACUAUCAGAUUUAUGAAUGCCCAUUAUGGAUACUUAUUACGUGUGCAAUGGAAAUCUAGUUAAACGAGACACUGAGAUUGACUCUAAAGAUAUAUUCGUCAUUGAAGAACCAUUUGAGCCAUAUGAAAAUAAUAUUAUUCAAGAUGAACCACUACAACUUGAAACUGAUGUUCUUGAAGAAUCUCGUAAUUGUAAAAGAAAUUGCCGAGAAUGGAGUCAAUAUGAAACAAAGAUUCUUUUGGAUAUGUAUAAACGAAAUGUUACUCAAGUAGGACCGAUGAAAAAAUUUAAAAGUAAAAGAGAAAUGUUCAAGUGUAUAGCACAAACAAUAUCUGCUAAAUUAAACAUCAUCAGAAGUGCUCAUCAAUGUGAAAAUAGGUAUAAAACGGUAGUAAAUCAACGAAAAGUUGGACGUUCAAUAUUACAAAAGUCUAGAUCAAAUGUUGAAAAGAAAUUAAAUGAAGAGGAACGAUUACAAAAUGAUGUUACUGCUUCAGUGUCAGCAGACCAUGAUUAUAAUGGACAGAACUCUGGAACUAAUGGUCAAUGUACAAUGAAAUCUAUGAAUGAAUGGGGUGAUGAUGAUACCAAGCUACUCAUGGAAAUGUACAGAAAGAACAUUUCCAAAGUGGGACUGGAAAGAACAUUCAGGACUAAAUUAAAAAUGUUUGAGUAUAUUGCAAAUACUAUAAACAAUAUACUAAAUAUUACUAGAACGGCUGAGCAAUGUCUAAAUAGAUAUAAAACCAUAUUCAGAAGAAAAAAUUUUAAACAGAAUAGAAUAAACAACGAUAUAUCCAUGAAUAACAUAGUUAUAGACGAUAAUUUAAACAACAGUGAUAAUUCAAACUGUGAUGCACAUUUUGUUGAUAAUUUAUAUGAAACUGAGUUUAACACUCAUGUUUAUGAUGGCAAAACAUUAAGAAAGGUUGUUAAGCAGCCAAAGGUAGUUCCUAAACCUAAAGAGCCUGAUACUAGUCAGGACACAUUGUUGACAAGGACUCUGAGAGAGAUUGCCAACCAAAAAGAAAAGACGUUAUUAAAAAUUGCAGCAAACCAAGAGCGAGCAGAAGAACGGAGGCAUCAGGAAACAUUGACGCUUAUACGACAACUUGGUUAUAUUUUAUAACAAUAUAUAAAUCCUGAAAAAAAAACCUUUUAAGUAUUAAAUACUAAAAGAAUUGAAUAGAAUUUUCUACGAGAUUUAUUCGGUGAAACUAUUGUUCGAUACAUUGGAAAUCAACAAGGCGAUACAUCUGAACAGCAUUAUUAAACAACAAUAUUUUUAAUGAAACAUGAAGUGUUAGUUAAUUACAUAUUGAGAACUUUGAUAAUUUAAAAAGAAGGUUGUGGCCUACACACAUUUCAACGUAUAAAAACAAUAAAACAUU
RNA transcript from Myzus persicae (green peach aphid), 1631 nucleotides. RefSeq lists it as uncharacterized. The record is from RefSeq and is a predicted model, not a curated record. NCBI's taxonomy places the organism in Eukaryota, Metazoa, Arthropoda, Insecta, Hemiptera, Aphididae. The transcript is spliced from 8 exons.